Molecule: long non-coding RNA, 1739 nt
Filed under: Volvox carteri
Lineage: Eukaryota; Viridiplantae; Chlorophyta; Chlorophyceae; Chlamydomonadales; Volvocaceae
Description: long non-coding RNA (VCAR_LNC002695)
Source: RNAcentral
GUUUCAAUAAAAGCAAUGUUCGCACACCAAGCGUAAGACUUGCUGUUGCUUGGAACCUUGGGAUGAGCGGAUGAUUCCGGAGUGCACUCAGAACUGUGAUUAAGGCUCUCCCUAUGAUUGCCCUGUCAGCUUCAUCGGUGUAGCCAUCAGUGCAUGCUUCUUUCGGUUUUCCUGAAUGCGGCCUUUUCCUUCUGCCGUGUACAUAUUUCCAGGGCAGACUCGGAGCGCCCCAAGCUUGGUUACUGGACGGCGGCUUGUUCCGACGGCAUAGGCCCAGAGCUAGCACGCACGCAUAACGUGUCGUCGUUACACGAAAGCGUUGAUGAGGACGUUUUAGGGCUCACGCCUGGCCGGCCGCCGGAGGGGCGGUGAUGGCGGUGGGGUUGGCUAUAGGAUGCAGAUCGGUAGGUGUCGAUACUCGAGGUACAGUGUACCAGUCAAACCAGUACAUACGAGACUCUGACUUGCGGGCUGCAUACGGCGUGGUACCUGUCACGGGGCAUGCCACCGGUUUGACAUGUGUACAGUUGGAAACAAUUGCGGCUAAGGCAACAUGCCAACUACGCACGCUACUUCCUACGGGUUGUUGGUGGUUGCCCGGAGUUCGAGUGCUAGUUGUGAUCUUCGCGUUUGCCUUACAGACAUGGCAGUGUUGAUUAACAGGUGGCAGUCCUGGUGCUCUUAAUUUUAGCGUAACGUGUGAGCCUUAAUAGGUAAGGGGUGACCUGUUGGGUCCGCCUGAUUAUUUUUCUCUGGGGGCCUUGUGUCGGUGGCCCAUUGCUCCCCAUGCCAUCGGGAUCAGGUUUCUUAGUGUGAACAGGCUGAGUGGUCGGAUUGUUCCCUGUUUCAAUGCAGUCCCAAGCUUCUGGGAUCAUCUGGAAAGGGGCGCAGGGAGAGGACACGGAACCAACGUUCCAGUGCUUUACAAUAAACGCUUUUAUCCGCCACGACGGUGGUUCCGUGCCGCUGUGGGAAAAUGCAUGCAAAGCACCCACGUUCAUGUUUUGGAGCCGCAGCAGUUAGCCAAAGCAUCUGGCAUCCACGCCCAGCAGUACGGGGGCGUCUAGGCAUAUGUUUUGUCGGGGUCAGGGGAAGCUUCCAUGCCAAGGAAUAAUUAGGGCUUACAGGCAACCGCACGCUACGCGUAUCUAGGUUUGCCCAGCAUAAAGAGUUCCAAGGAUAGCUGAGUAUCAGGGAGUGUGCACCUUCCCAAUUCAGCUAUUGUACUGUCAGAUAAUUCCAGUGUAACUCUGUACCCGUCUUCCUGGCUCACGCAUGCUCAUUUAUCAUCUCUUCACUAUUUCUUCCUGCUCCUCUCUUCACAUUGCCCUCCUGACGUCUUUACGUGACAUCUUUACCGUUACGCGAACCCAAUGCUUCCUGUGCAAUCCUCGCUACUCCGUCUCACAGUAUUAACAUAUUUUACCUUCGCACUUGCCACCGUACGUACUGACUGCCAAUACUUUCCGAAGUUCCGGGCACCGUAGUGGCACAAGCUGGUAGAAAUUCCGGCCGCGUAGAGAAUUUCCAUUUACGUCUUUCUUUCUCCAUAAAGUUAAUCGGUUGGGGGAGGUAACUUCGAUCAACUUCCCUGAUUUAUAGUUGCGUAUCGCAAUGCCUAACACAGGACGAGCUGCUCGUCCGCUCUUCCUUCUUCCUCAUCUUCCUUGCAUUUUUGCCUAGCUGUGUUGGCCUUCAUUUGAUCUGGCUGGUGGCAUAUCGCUUGGAAGCGAAUCGCC